This 254-nucleotide ribosomal RNA is filed under the name uncultured bacterium. RNAcentral describes it as "partial 16S ribosomal RNA". It matches the Rfam family "Bacterial small subunit ribosomal RNA", at positions 524 to 776 of the family's 1533-position model. The record is from RNAcentral.
UACGUAGGGGGCAAGCGUUGUCCGGAUUUAUUGGGCGUAAAGAGCGUGUAGGCGGCCAGACAGGUCCGUUGUGAAAAACUCGAGGCUCAACCUCGAGACGCCGAUGGAAACCGUCUGGCUAGAGUCCGGAAGAGGAGAGUGGAAUUCCUGGUGUAGCGGUGAAAUGCGCAGAUAUCAGGAAGAACACCCGUGGCUAAGGCGGCUCUCUAGUACGGUACUGACGCUGAGACGCGAAAGCGUGGGGAGCGAACAGG